RNAcentral lists this unclassified non-coding RNA (204 nucleotides) under plant metagenome. RNAcentral's name for it is "partial contains small subunit ribosomal RNA, internal transcribed spacer 1, and 5.8S ribosomal RNA". The record is from RNAcentral.
UCUCCGUUGGUGAACCAGCGGAGGGAUCAUUACCGAGUUUACAACUCCCAAACCCAAUGUGAACUAUACGUGUCUACCGUUGCUUCGGCGGGUUCGCCCGCCGAAGGACCGACAAAUAAACUCUUGUAUUUCUAUCUUUUGCAUGUCUGAGUGGAAUCAUAAACAAAUGAAUCAAAACUUUCAACAACGGAUCUCUUGGUUCUG